UGGGGAAUAUUGGACAAUGGGCGAAAGCCUGAUCCAGCCAUGCCGCGUGUGUGAAGAAGGUCUUCGGAUUGUAAAGCACUUUAAGUUGGGAGGAAGGGCAUUAACCUAAUACGUUAGUGUUUUGACGUUACCGACAGAAUAAGCACCGGCUAACUCUGUGCCAGCAGCCGCGGUAAUACAGAGGGUGCAAGCGUUAAUCGGAAUUACUGGGCGUAAAGCGCGCGUAGGUGGUUUGUUAAGUUGGAUGUGAAAUCCCCGGGCUCAACCUGGGAACUGCAUUCAAAACUGACUGACUAGAGUAUGGUAGAGGGUGGUGGAAUCUCCUGUGUAGCGGUGAAAUGCGUAGAUAUAGGAAGGAACACCAGUGGCGAAGGCGACCACCUGGACUAAUACUGACACUGAGGUGCGAAAGCGUGGGGAGCAAACA
This 427-nucleotide ribosomal RNA is filed under the name uncultured bacterium. RNAcentral describes it as "partial 16S ribosomal RNA". It matches the Rfam family "Bacterial small subunit ribosomal RNA", at positions 355 to 774 of the family's 1533-position model. The record is from RNAcentral.